This is a non-coding RNA of Podarcis lilfordi (Lilford's wall lizard), 11320 nucleotides long. The record is from the annotation of a GenBank genome assembly. NCBI's taxonomy places the organism in Eukaryota, Metazoa, Chordata, Lepidosauria, Squamata, Lacertidae.
UCCAAGUAAAUCAAGUAGGAAACAAAACUCUAAUUAUGUGGAAUAUUCUGCAUCAUCUUCCUGGUUGUACUGCCAACCAGAUGGGGGGGAAAACACUCAUGUCUUUCCCUCCCUCCCUCCAACUGGCUGCUUUUACAACAUAAUCCUGUGAAUGUUGGCGCAGAAAUGCCCCACUGAGUUCAGUGGGGCUUACUCCCAGGUAAGUGGGCACAGGACUUCAGCCUCACAGAGCAAUUCUGCAAACUUCUGCUCAGAAGUCAGUCCCCUUGUGUUCAGUGGGGCCAAAUCCCAGAUUAAUGGGUAUAGGUUUACAGUCUUAAUUGCCUUUCCUUCCCCUCUCAGCUAGCAGAAAGUAAUUAAUACCUAUAAGCCAUCAAACCCAUUAUUAAGCAAACAUCUUUAUCUAGCAAACAAUACAAGAGCUUUGCAUAUUCAAAGUCCAUGUUUGCAGCAACUUAAAAUGCAAGUUACUGAGAUUUGUAAGCUUCCAAAUGCAGCAAAUAUUUAAAUAAAUUCUUUAUUCUGAAUAAACAUUAUGGCAUGUACUUUGCAGCUUAUAUUUUGUUGCCGUGCAAUGUCCCAGUGUGGUUUUUAUUGUUCAUAAAUGCUUGGGAGCGCUCAUUAAAAAUGGUGGGGGAAUAAAUUGUGAUUCAUGUUUGCUUUAAAUAAUUAGGAAAACUUUCUGGAUGUUAACUUGGCAAGGUCUAUCUAGCAGAUCUGCAAAAACAGUCUGCUUCUGGCAAGAAAAUUUGCUACUGAGUUAAUGCCGCUCCCUUUUCUCAGGAGACAGAAGACUGUUGGAUUUUUCCACAUACUCAGUUGGAUAUAGAUGGGGGUUGAAGAAGCUUAAGAAUAAGCUGUACCAUGACAACUUUUGAUUUUGCUAUUUGAAAGAGAGAGGUUCUCAAGCCUAAAUCCUUUAAUGCCCUGAUUUGGUUGGAUUUCUGAUGCAGGCAUUCCCAGAGAACAUGCAAAAGGGAGCUUCCUAUAUCCCCUGUAUGAUGUCUGAAUGCACAACUAACAUGAAAAUCAAUACAUCUGCAAAGAAAACACAGUGGAGAUCAAAUGAAGCCUUAAUUACGUAUGUGAGAGCCAGUGCUGUCUCAUUUAUUUGAUCGUUUAUUCCAUUCAUCAGUCAUCCAAUAGCAAUAGUUCUCUGGGGCUAAAUAGAUUGUGAAAAUGGAUUAAAAAUCGCAAUUCCAAUAAAACAAGAAUCAAUAAAAAGACCUAGAGCAGAUGUGGGGAAGCUGCUGGGAAAGAUCUCUGCCUUAGGACUUGGAACAUAGAAAGCCACCUUAUACCAAGUCAGACCAUUGAUCUAUCUAGCUCAUUAUUGUUGGCAGCUUGCCAGAAUUUCCAAUGGUCCUCAGUCCGUUCAACUUCCCAAACAUUCGGAAACCAAAGCGCCGCUUCUGAUUGGCUGCAGGAAACUCCUGCAGCCAAUCAGAAGCCCCGCCGGAUGUUCGGCCUCCAAAAAUAGUUCGCAAACCAGAACAGUCACUUCCAGGUUUGCAGCGUUCUGGAGCCAAAACCUACGAGAACUAAGCUGUUCAAAAAGCAAGGUACGACUGUACUUUGCUCAGAAUGAAAUUAUAUUCAGAAUGGAAGCAUGCAAGAACUGAUAUCAAUUCCUUCAUUAGCAUGAAUGGGGAUAUGCGACAGGGCAAAAUGAGGAUGGCUUGAAUAAAUAUUUGAUUCUGUAUCUCUUGCUAGCAGCCAGAAUAGCUAUUGCAAGAAAAUGGAAAUAUCUAGAGGGAUUAAAUAAGGAUUUAUGGUGUGGUGAAAACUGGUCCAUAGCUAUAAAAAUGAACUAAAACAUUAAGGUAUACUAGAGAGCAAACCAAAAAAGAUUCAUUUUCAACGAUGUAGCAAAAAAUAAUAAUUGUAUAUUCAUGAUGAUAACAGCGUUCAAAUUCCUCCUGUAAAAUAUGCUAUUUGAAAUUCUUGGCAACUACAAUGGUACCUCAGGUUACAUACGCUUCAGGUUACACACUCUGCUAACCCAGAAAUAGUACCUUGGGUUAAGAACUUUGCUUCAGGAUGAGAACAGAAAUCCUGCUCCGGCAGCACGGCAGCAGCAGGAGGCCCCAUUAGCUAAAGUGGUGCUUCAGGUUAAGAACAGUUUCAGGUUAAGUACAGACCUCCGGAACGAAUUAAGUACUUAACCUGAGGUACCACUGUAUUCAGUUUGAAGGCGCUGAUGGACCAAUGCACCUCUCCCAAUGGUGGCCUGUGUGGGGUUGUGGCACCCAAUCCACGACAGUGGCAACUUUCCAGCCCAGAAGAGAAGAAGAGUUUGGAUUUGAUAUCCUGCCUUUCACUCCCUUUAAGGAGUCUCAAAGCGGCUAACAUUCUCCUUUCCCUUCCUCCCCCACAACAAACACCCUGUGAGGUGAGUGGGGCUGAGAGACUUCAAAGAAGUGUGACCUGCCCAAGGUCACCCAGCAGCUGCAUGUGGAGGAGCAGAGACGCGAACCCGGUUCACCAGAUUACGAGUCUACCGCUCUUAACCACUAAACCACACUGGCUCCCAGGGCCCAGGGCCAGCCCCACUGGGUUCCUAUCAGGCUGUAGGCAGGCCUUAGCCAAACCUAGUCUUACCUGUAAUCAAUAAAGUUGUGGGCUAAUUCAGCCCAAUACCAAUCUCCUGUGUUCAUUUUCCUCAGACUUCCCGCACUGGCCGCAGACAUCAUGCACCUGUGGCGGCAAUUGAAACAUGCAGAAAUGGGCACUCUGUGUAGCCUUAAGAACCACAACACUUUAAGGAAAGAAUGUUGAGAUUUCAUAGAAUCAUAGAAUUGUAGAGUUGGAAGGGACCACGAGUGUCAUCCAGUCCAACCCCCCCCCAACCCUGUGGGAAUCUUUUGCCCAAUGUGGGGCUCGAACCCGUGACCCAUAGAUUAAGAGUCUCAUGCUCUAUCAGCUGAGCUACAAGGCUGAAGGAGAGUCGUCCCCCAAAAAAUAGCAAAAAGUUUUUUUAUUUGUAAACUUUAUUAAUAAUAUUAAAUUCUACAAACGUCAUCAAUGGAAAACACAAAUUCAUGACCCAUCAAUUGAUUUUACAAAUACAGUAUCCAUAAUAACUAAACUGUCACUCAUUCAAAGAGCUCUUCCGUAACUAUAUAAUUCAGUUGUCUUUUAGACUGUCUUAAAGAUAGCUGCUGGUUCUCCAUCAAUUUUAUCCAAUUCAUGACUCCUAAAGAGGAUUUAAAAAAAAAAAAAAUCUCUAAACAAAUCAUUAUAGCAACUCAUUUGGAGAAUUCGCUGAGGAAGGGCUGCAGCUCUGAGAGAUGCCUGUGAAGAUGUGUGUUCUUUGUUGUAUAUUGUGUUGUUGAAAACCACCUUGUGUAUAGUAAUAUAGAAAGGUGGUGUACAAAUUAAAAAUGAAAUGGGGGGGGGAUGAAAUUAAGCUUCUGCUCUCACAAAGGAGAGUUCCCCAACUUCUGAGGCAGUCCGUUCCACAGUCAAACAGUACAGUCUGGGAGAACUUCUUCCUAAUGUUGAAUCUAAACCCCUUUUCUUGUGAUGUUGGUUUGGAUCCUGCCCUCUGGGGCAGCAGAAAUCUAAUUCUCGCCUUCAUCUAUGUGACAGCCAUUCAAAUAUUUAAAGAUUGCUUAUUACAUUGUCUCUUCCCCUUUACAUUGAAGCUCCUAGAUGGCCCACAGUGCUUUUGUUUCACAUAUAAAAACAGAUUUGUAAUUCCCAACCUACUAAGCAUGUGUGUUCAUUAGCUGUGUUCUAAUUAUCAGUGUAGGAGAUCACAUAAUUCUAUCUAUUCCUAUGGUAACAAAUUAAGAUGUGUGUUCCAGCAGCAUCUAAUGAGAUUUGUGCAGACUACUAAUUUGGGGGAAGUUGUGUUUCUUCGCUGAUCAUGGACGAAAGCAAGAUCCCCCUGCAGGCUAGUUGAGUGUUCUCUGCCAAUUAGCUCUUUAAAGUAUAUAUGCAGUACAGCAGAUUCUAUCAAUUAUAUUCUAACACUAUUAAAUAUAAAUCAGAUGCAAAGUAGAAGAAGAAUAUAAAGAACCCCAGUUUCAAAACAACUUUAUAAGGCUUGUUUAACCAUCUGUGAUGCAGGUGACAGCUAGUUAGGAUUUCCAUUACGCUUGUAGGCAUUUUGCAUAAUUGUCAGUGACUGGCUGGAUACUGAGGGGAUAGUGGCUGGAUUCUGAUGAGCGGGCACCAGGGGAGGGGAGUUUGGAGACUGGCUUGGAAGAAGGGAUCAGUGAUCUGGGAGAGCCUGUAGCAGCCAGGAGUUGAGAGUCAGAGGCAAGAGAAGCUGCAGGAUUCUGGAGCGAAGAACAGUUGCAGGAGGAGGGAGAAACAGGCCAGACUGGUGAAGAGUCCAGGCCUUUCAUAGUGGGGUAGGAGAGCUGGGGGGGGGAUUCACAUCAGGCAUUGGUUUCUGCCCCUUUGGUUUCAGAUAGUACAUGGGUAGUAAAGGUAAAGGGACCCCUGACCAUUAGGUCCAGUCGUGACCGACUCUGGGGUUGCAGCGCUCAUCUCACUUUAUUGGCCGAGGGAGCCGGCGUACAUGUGGCCAGCAUGACUAAGCUGCUUCUGGCGAACCAGAGCAGCACACAGAAACGCCGUUUACCUUCCCGCCGGAGCGGUACCUAUUUAUCUACUUGCACUUUGACGUGCUUUCGAACUGCUAGGUUGGCAGGAGCAGGGACCAAGCAACAGGAGCUCACCCCGUUGCGGGGAUUCGAACCGCCAACCUUCUGAUCGGCAAGUCCUAGGCUUUGUGGUUUAACCCACAGCGCCACAGUGGGUAGUAGUAGAGUCUAAAAAGCCUGGGACACAAAUUUUCUUUCUUUUUUUAUAUAUAAAUUUAUUUGGUUUUCCCAAUUAAAAUUUGACAGUCCCAUAUCCAACAUACAUAGAAACAAGAUUCCAAAGGCUCUCCUGGACUUCCUCCCUCCCCUUUUUUAAAUCAUUUUCUCCUGCAUCUUUUAUAAUUAUCCAAAUCUUUCACCUCUCCAUUGUGUCCAAAAUUCACCAUUAAACUAUAAGUGUUAUUCCAAUCCUACUAACGAGUUUAACUGGUUUUUAAGAUAAAUUAUAAAUUUCCCUCAUUUCUUAUUAAAAUUUUGGUCUUCCUGAUUUCUGAUCCUUCCGAUCAUUUUAGCCAUUUUGGCAUAAUCCAUCAACUUGAUCUGCCAUUCUUCUCUGGUAGGGACUUUUAUCUUCUUUCCAUCUCUGGGCCAAUAACAUCUGCGCAGCCAUGGUCACCUACAUAAAUAGUCUUUUUGCUCCCUUGGGAUUUCGGCUCCCAAGGCUCACAGAUUUUCACAGCCCUCUAGCGCCUAUGGUGACUCAUUUACCAGAUUUAAUGUGUUUAGCGAUAACUCUGUGUAUACUGACCAAACUAAGCCUCCUGCUCUACAUUUUGCUCUAGAUGUGCAAUAUAUUGGCAUUGUUUUCAGCUCUCCUACCGCACUACCAUGCCUCCUCUUUCUGCGGCUGCCUCUGCUGCUCCACUGUCUCCCAGGACCAGGAGAGGAUUGGAGUGGGGGGAGCAGAAGCAGGUGACACACAGGUGGAGUUUUUGUGUGCAGCUCAGGUAGGGGAGAUACAUAAGCCAAGGUUGGGGGCGGGGUGUCAGGAACUGGGCAGAGGACGAAUGAUGGGGAUUCGCUCCCCAGCCUGACCAUUCCAGGGAGGAGGAAAAGGAAGACAGUAUAGAUUUACCACAGGGGUUGGAGGGAUGUCACAGCUCAGAGGCAGAUGAGGGGGAAGUUGGGAACUAAUUGGAGAGGAUGAGGAGGAAGAAGGGGCAACAGCUGACGGACACAGACCCCCCCCCCCAGAACCCGGCGAGCCUUGAAAGUAGGAGAGCAAAGAGCUCAAAGACAGAGGGCACAUAGCAGUACCCAUAGAAGUAACGAAGGAGGAAGUAGGAGAGACCAGGGUGUGGAGAUUCACUCUGGACAAUGCCCUUAUCCAGGAGGCUGGGUUCUAUAGCCUCUCUCUCUCUGUAAAUACUGAAUAAAAAGUGGAUGGUAAGAACAUUCCUUGUUUUUGUAUGUUCCUGGGCAACCGGCCGUGGGAGUUGCUGGCAGCAGCCUGACUCGGGGCCUCUCUGUUGCGGAAACUGCAUCAUCGGGUACACACCUAGGCGUAGCUGAAAAGUAGGACUGAUGGACAUGCCUUUUCCUAACUUGUAAGUGUACUUUUGACUUAAUUCCUCACUCUGGACAUUCCGUGCCUGACAGCAAUGUUGCUGUGGGCAUGUCAAGUUGUUGUCAACGAGCCAGGUCAACCACAGGGCAGGCACACACAUGGGAGGCACAGGUUGCAAUUAGGUCUUUAUCAACAGAAAAUACCAUCACAGUAGAGUCCUCCGGUUUGUAUUAAUCCGGCUGAGACCUUGCCGAAACUUACCACUAGCUCUUCCCUCCCCUUCUAACCUUUUAAUCUGGAUCCCUCCCAAGCAGAUGAGCACUGCGUCAGCAGGACUGGGGCUGUCUGCACUCACAUUGUGACUCUCAGACUUUAACUCUGUCCUGGAGGGCCUCCUUCUUCUGAUGCCCCCCCCUUGAUUGCUCAACCCCCUUGCUUGUAGCACCUCCCAGCUUGUCCCUUCUCCAGACUGCUUCCCAGUGUCCCACCACCAGGAUCUGGGAUCGAAGUCUUCUUCAUCUGAGCCCUCCGGGGGGGGGGCUCUUGCGCAGGGGCCUCCCACCACUCUUCCUCAUCCAGCCAGUCCCUGAAAUGGCACCUAGUGGGCAGUGCCUGCAUGGAUAGCACUAAGCAAAACAGGGCAGCUGCUGGAGACCGCAGGUGAUCACACAGCACAAAGAGUCUUUCCCCAGAUCCAGUACAAAGGCAGCCUCCUAUCUCCUCUUCUGAUGACUGUGAGACCAGUGGAGAAGGGUGAACUAAGAGCUACUGCUAAGCGACAGAAGAGCAAGUUUCUUGCCUCUGGAUUCAGGCAUCUUCCUUGAGGACCUCUGGGACAAACAGCUGAAUUGCCUAUCUCUCUCUGGGGCAAGGAACUACAAAAAUUGGGAGCCGGGCCAGCGAAUCACAAGUAAUUAAGGACAACAGCUCCCCUUCUCCUAUCGUGUAAUGGACAUGCUUUAUAAUACCAGAGGAAAACUGGGGGGGGGGGGAAUUGCACCAGGGCCUUUUAUUCCAAUCCAUACUUCAAGCAACUGCUCAAGACCUCAGAACAAUAUAUAAACAUUGAUGUACUUUACCAAAUAUGUUAUUUAUCUCUUUUUUAAAAAAAAAACCCCAAAACACCACAGUUUCAUCUCCUGCCAUUCCCAUUCCUCUGGUCCAUGUCCUUUGUUUACUUGGCUAUCAGCAGACAGCCUUAUUGCUUAUCAGCAACACUUUAAUGAAAGAUAAAUAACAGGCAAACACUCAUCAAGUUAUUUCCUGUAUGAUAUAUAUAGGGAAAGACAUGGUGUGUGUGGGUGGGUGUGUGCGUGUGGGUGUGGGUGUGGGUGAAAUGCAACUAAAUCCCAAAUCUUCUAAGCAAUUAGGAGCGCUCAUUAACUCAAAGUGCACGAAUGAUCCCCUUGACCUCGACGGAUUACUACUCGUGUGUCCUCAAUUCAAGCGUGAUCAUGCUGGUAAAAUCAGAGUUUUGUGUUUGUGCCUUGUCAAAAUCUCUUUGGUGUUAUCUAAUGAACACUGGGUUGUUUUGCAGCCUGCACUGAGGAGCACAGGCUUGAAACUAUGGGAAUCUUCCCAUGGACCUAAUAAGUCUGUAAUCAGGCCGGCUGUGGUGAGAGAGCUAUCCUACACCUAGGAGCUGAGCAGCUCAAUAUGAGAUCAGUUGAGAUACCCCCAGAGACUUUAACUCUAAUCCUCGUGGACGGCUGGCAUUGAGUAAUGAUGACUUAAAUGAUCGUGCGGGAGAAUCCAGCAUGAGUGCAGCAUCAACAAAACCAGACUUCACCCUUUACUGCCAAUUCUCACAACUUUUUUAAACUCCUUCAUUCUUUUUGGGAGAUUCAGGACAAAUAAAAGAAAGUACUUUUUCAUGUAAGGUAAAGGUAAAGGGACCCCUGACCGUUAGGUCCAGUCGUGGCCGACUCUGGGGUUGCGGCGCUCAUCUCGCUUGACUGGCCGAGGGAGCCGGCGUACAGCUUCCAGGUCAUGUGACCAGCAUGACUAAGCCGCUUCUGGCGAACCAGAGCAGCGCACGGAAACGCCGUUUACCUUCCCGCCGGAGUGGUACCUAUUUAUCUACUUGCACUUUGAUGUGCUUUCGAACUAAUAGGUUUGCAGGAGCAGGGACUGAGCAACGGGAGCUCACCCCGUCGCAGGGAUUCAAACCGCCGACCUUCUGAUCGGCAAGCCCUAGGCUCUGUGGUUUAACCCUCAGCGCCAUCCAUGUACCUUCUUCUUCAUGUAGCACAUAGUUAAACUCUGAAACUCACCCCCACAGAGGUAGUGCUGACCACCAAAUUAGGUGGCUUUAAAAGAUGAUUAGACAAAUUCAAGGCUAUCAAUGGCUACUAGCCACGAUGGCUAGGCUCUGUCUCCAGCUGCAAUGCUUCUGAAUACCAGUUGCUGGAAACCACAGGAGGAGGGAGGGUCCUUGUACACAGGUCCUGUGUUAUGAAAGGCUUGGGCAAAGAGGAAUGAUGGGAGGAACCAGUUAGGGAACAACCAAGGGAUUAAGGUCCGGAGCCCGUGGAUUUGUGGUGGGACAAAAAUAAGUGGUCAGACAACAAUGAGAGAGAAGACUGGGAAGAGGGGGUGUUGGAAGCUGAAGAGUUAACAGGAUUUCGUGAGCUGGGAGAGUCUGUGACAGAAUCAGAGACAGAAACUGAAGCACGAGGGUGGAAGGAGAAAGGCCGAGAGGCAGAGAUUAUUUAGCCUGGUGAAGAGUCCUGAGUGCCUCCCGCUCCUGUUGCAACAAGCUCCCCUCCCUCCUUGUCUCCCAGAACCAGAAGAGACAUGAAAAGGGCGGAGGAGAGAUGGGUGACAUGCAGACACAGUCUCUGAUUGCUUGGGGGGAACCCUGGAGAGGAGGGGAUAUAGGCAGUUGUGGGGAGGCAGGAAACUUCAGUCUCAGCAACUGUUUCACGGGGACAAGAACUACCGGAGAUGUACUGCUGUGCUCAUUAGGCCUGGCACUCCUGUUAUUGUUUUUGCUAAUAAAGAGUUAACUCCAGUUUGCACAUUGUGAUUUACUGCUGGCUCGCUCUUGACAUCCUGCUUGUAGGCUUCCUGCAGGCAUCUGGGGGCCCACUGCAGGAACAGGAUGGGUCAUUGGCCUGAACCAGCAGGCUCUUCUUUUGUCUCCUUGAUGCAUGACUGUUAUUAACCCAUUCAGUUAGGCUAGAAUUCCCAUUUCUAAGGAGAAACACUGAAACUACCCAAUAGUUCCAUAGCUGCAAUGGACACCUGCGCCAAUCCACCUGGGCAAGGAAGGGCCAGGGCUCAGUCUAAAAGUGAUACAGAAAUGCUACUCAUGAUUCAAGAUGAAUGGUGAUUUUUGCUGCAGAUUGAUAUAUGAGAAAAUGCAGUUACAUUUUUAAAAAAUGCCAAAAGAAAUGCUAAACAGAAUUUUAAACAGUUAUUGUCCGUAAGCGUUUGCGUUUUCACAAAGCAACAGUAAGGUAAGAACAACAGGCGCAGAACCUGGAAUUGGUGCUUCUAUUUUUAGCUGGUAGGACUUCAAGGUGACUUUAUUUUCCAGGGCCGUUGAUAGCAGAUCUGAAUCUGAAGCAUCUCGGACGCAGAAGAAUGUCUUCUACCUCAUUCUAUAGCUUGAAAUAUGGCUCAGGAACCAUCCAGUUGGUCCGAGAAUAGCCAAUGAAAACACUGUUAAACCGAUGACGGUUUCCUAAAUCAAGGGAAAGAAGGGUCAUGCAAGGCAAAACAGAGACGCAAGCGAGGCUGCCUGAGGGGGGGGGGAGCUUUUUGCCUUACAGAUACAGCCAACGCUAUUGAACUUUUAAAGCUGUAAUCUCAGUAAUGUGAUAGAUGCAAAGAACCAACCACAGUGAAAGUUGAUUAUCCUACAAAUCCAGUCACCAGCUGAAGUACUUCAUGUCAACUGAAAAGCAAAGUGUGAUUUGUCAUUUUAGGUCACUAUGGGUUAAAAAUGGGGGUGGGGGAUUACUUUCAAAGCUGCACUACAGCUUAGUGGCUUCGCUUUCCUUUCUAGCUUUUUGCACAUUUUGAGGGUGCGCUGCCACAGCUAAGCAGAAACACAACCUUUUUGCACGAGAUCUUUCACUGCUCCAGAGUUCCAUAUGCAUGCAGAUGGAUACAUGGAAACCGAAGCAGGUUUCCUUGCCAUUGCCAAAACAAAAGAAAAUGCAUUGCUUUUUUAAAAAAAGUGUGUGUAUUUGCAAAACAGUUGCACAUGCUAAGUUAAAUUUACAUACUCAGUUUGAGAAAUAAUUGCUAUCAUUUAAGAAGAGAUACAAGGCAUCUACUCAAGGAAGACUGUGACCACAUGUGUGUCUGUUCAGUCUGCUGUUCAGGAGCUAGCUCAGUGUUUUUGUUGGACUACAACUCCCAUCAUCCCUGACCACUGGUCCUGCUAGCUAGGGAUGAUGGGAGUUGUAGUCCAACAACCGCUGGGGAACCAAGUUUGAAAAACACUGUGCUCACUGUAGAUGGGAAGCUUCAGGACCCAAUAACUCAUCUUAGGUUGUUCUGGGUGUGAUUCAAUUCAUGAGUCCUGAUAGUGGAAGCCCCUGCAAGGACUUAGGCUAGCGCAAUGGGGCUUCCCCCCUUCUGUCCCUGCACCCACUUUCCCAAAGUGCUGUGUGUCAUGAGAUCCCUCAGAACAGUGCACAGGGGAAGAAGAGGGAGGAUUGUUCCAUCUGACAGACUGAAAAUCACAAGUUGCGUCAAAAUGCGGAGAACUGAAUUUAAGAUUGAAAAAAUUAGAAACGGAGAGAAAUGAAAUAGACAAAUCCUUCCAUCCCUAGUCUGGAGCCCCUCAAUUAACUUAAGGGAGCUCAUGGAAGGAAUUCUUUCCUCCAGGAGCUCUUAGUCCUAUUCCAGAGUGGUCAGGCAUCUCCCCAGUGUCUUUGGAGAGAGGCUUUCUGGGCAUCAGAAAGGGGAGCUAGGAACAAGAAAUGCUCCUUCAUUAAGUUGUCUCAGGGAUCCACACUCAUACAGUUGUUCUGAUCAAGAGUAGGUUUUCAAGAGAGACAGCUUGCCUUGCCUGAUAAAUAGAUCAGGAUAGCUCUCAGGUGACCUGCGUAUUCAGCAUUCAUCCUGAUUUGCUUGCACAAAAUCAGCAAGCAGGUCAGACAGCAUUGGCUAUUUAUUGACUAUUUAAUAUGAUUUGUUUUCAGGGCGGUUAGACAAUGUUGCCUCGAGCAAGAGUUACGCC